CCUGAGAAACCCAAAAGAUCGAAUGGGGAGAUUCAUCGUCAGCGAUCUCGGCGCGUGGGCGUUUCACGAUGUCGAGAGGUCUCGGCCUCACGGCACGCGUCCGCGUUGCCUCGCCGGGUGUCGUCGGCGUGCACUUCUCCCCUAGUAGGACGUCGCGACCCGUUGGGUGUCGGUCUACGGCCUGGGUGGGCGCCUGUCGCGCGUAACGCUUCGCGUCGCGCGGCAGACCCCCGGUCGCCCGACCAGCUGCCCGGCGGUACUCGUACGGUAUCGAGCAGCAAAUAUUCGAACUGCGUCCGGCCCGCCGCAAGCUUAGCCAGUGUUUACCCGGAUGUACGGACCUAGCGCCGUCACCGGGCCUGACCGGCUGUUGGCCGGCGGUGUCCUGGGACCGGCUCUAACGACGCUUCUGCUUUGGGUACUUUCAGGACCCGUCUUGAAACACGGACCAAGGAGUCUAACAUGUGCGCGAGUCAUUGGGAUCUCGAAGCCUAAAGGCGCAAUGAAAGUGAAGGUCGGCAUCGCGCCGACAGAGGGAGGAUGGUCCGCGUUACGAUGCGGUCCCGCACUCCCGGGGCGUCUC
This 583-nucleotide ribosomal RNA is filed under the name Aphanistes guadamuzae. RNAcentral's name for it is "eukaryotic LSU rRNA". The record is from RNAcentral. Lineage: Eukaryota; Metazoa; Arthropoda; Insecta; Hymenoptera; Ichneumonidae.